AACGAACGCUGGCGGCAUGCCUAACACAUGCAAGUCGAACGAGACCUUCGGGUCUAGUGGCGCACGGGUGCGUAACGCGUGGGAACCUGCCCUUAGGUUCGGAAUAACUCCCCGAAAGGGGUGCUAAUACCGGAUAAUGUCUUCGGACCAAAGAUUUAUCGCCUUUGGAUGGUCCCGCGUUGGAUUAGCUAGUUGGUAGGGUAAAAGCCUACCAAGGCGACGAUUCAUAGCUGGUCUGAGAGGAUGAUCAGCCACACUGGGACUGAGACACGGCCCAGACUCCUACGCGAGGCAGCAGUGGGGAAUAUUGGACAAUGGGCGAAAGCCUGAUCCAGCAAUGCCGCGUGAGUGAUGAAGGCCUUAGGGUUGUAAAGCUCUUUUACCCGGGAUGAUAAUGACAGUACCGGGAGAAUAAGCUCCGGCUAACUCCGUG
This 433-nucleotide ribosomal RNA is filed under the name uncultured bacterium. RNAcentral describes it as "partial 16S ribosomal RNA". It matches the Rfam family "Bacterial small subunit ribosomal RNA", at positions 29 to 507 of the family's 1533-position model. The record is from RNAcentral.